AAGAAAAGGAAAAGAAGCUGCGGAGGAAGGAGAGAUUAAGAGAAAAAGAAAAGGAUAGAGAGAAGAAAAGUUGCGACUCAAACCAAAGUAAUUUUGCCCCUGAUGAUGUUUCAAAGGAAGAAUUAUCACCUAACGUUGAUGAGGAAUCUAAUCUUAUGGGCUAUACAGACUCGGUAAGUGAAGCUGGUGAAGUUAAUUUAUCCAGCCCUUUAUCGCCGAAUGAUGAAGAUGAUCUACUUUUGGAUGGAUAUAAUCACCCAAGUGUGCAAAUCAACUCUGAUGAUUAUUUUGAGGAAUUCAGUAUGAACGAGGGGAAUGGCUCAUUUCCAGCUGACCAUAUGAGACAUUCUGGGAGGUUGAAAUUUCGAAAAGAAUUUGAACCAGAUUCAAGCCUGAAAUGGUUUGAUGGACGUCGGUGUGCUGUUUCAGGCAGUGGAGGUGCGGCAAGUAAGUAUGAGCCAAGACAUCACUGUGAUAACUUUGAAGCUUCAAGGAGUACCAACAGGUUAAAUAAGCCAUUAAGAAGUAAUGCUGCAAAGUCCAGCAUGAAAGAUGGUGCCUCUAAGUUUGUUGAGAAGUUGAAUUGUUCCAAUAUCAGGAAGUAUGACCGAUAUGAAUCUUCAGAUUGCAGCUGUAACCAACACAGUGACG
RNAcentral lists this unclassified non-coding RNA (651 nucleotides) under Hevea brasiliensis (rubber tree). Lineage: Eukaryota; Viridiplantae; Streptophyta; Magnoliopsida; Malpighiales; Euphorbiaceae. The record is from RNAcentral.